RNAcentral lists this ribosomal RNA (425 nucleotides) under uncultured bacterium. Its description in RNAcentral is "bacterial SSU rRNA". It matches the Rfam family "Bacterial small subunit ribosomal RNA", at positions 354 to 796 of the family's 1533-position model. The record is from RNAcentral.
GUGGGGAAUAUUGGACAAUGGGCGCAAGCCUGAUCCAGCCAUGCCGCGUGAGUGAUGAAGGCCCUAGGGUUGUAAAGCUCUUUCACCGGAGAAGAUAAUGACGGUAUCCGGAGAAGAAGCCCCGGCUAACUUCGUGCCAGCAGCCGCGGUAAUACGAAGGGGGCUAGCGUUGUUCGGAAUUACUGGGCGUAAAGCGCACGUAGGCGGACAUUUAAGUCAGGGGUGAAAUCCCGGGGCUCAACCCCGGAACUGCCUUUGAUACUGGGUGUCUGGAGUAUGGAAGAGGUAAGUGGAAUUCCGAGUGUAGAGGUGAAAUUCGUAGAUAUUCGGAGGAACACCAGUGGCGAAGGCGGCUCACUGGCUCGAUACUGACGCUGAGGUGCGAAAGCGUGGGGAGCAAACAGGAUUAGAAACCCGAGUAGUCC